This 503-nucleotide small RNA is filed under the name Pan troglodytes (chimpanzee). RNAcentral describes it as "processed transcript". The record is from RNAcentral. Lineage: Eukaryota; Metazoa; Chordata; Mammalia; Primates; Hominidae.
GCCCACUGCUGUCUACAAAUGAAUAGGAAGAUUUAAGAUCUUUCAAAGCAAGUUGAGUCUAGACCCUUACCCAAGUUUUGUAACAUGAUUUUGUCUCUUUCCCCCCUUUUCAUGCAGAUUAUCCAUGGAGUUAGCAUGCAGAUAGCAUGGAGUUUGUCUGAUAGAAGUUGGCUCUGGUGGAAGUACAGAAAUUGAAUGGUCAGGGAAAGAUAGAAUGCAGGUUUCUUAGGGAGUCUCUAUUAGGUUUCCAGCCUGCCUUCCUGGGAGUGGAAGAGAGAUGAGGUUGUGCCCUUCAAGGAGGAGCUUUACAGAGAUAAAGAAACUAAGCCCUAGAAGAGGAACUCUGCCAGUCUAUUUACAAAGCCUGCACUGAAAGCUAGACCAUAUACUCUUUGGAGAGGGAUGAUGUGACCAGCUCAUAGACUAGGGCCUAUACCAUGUAAUAGGUACUCAAACUUUUUAAAAAUAAAUGAAUCAAUGAAUGAAUGUCUUUAUGUAAUCGG